CCUACGGGUGGCUGCAGUGGGGAAUAUUGGGCAAUGGGCGCAAGCCUGACCCAGCAACGCCGCGUGAAGGAAGAAGGCUUUCGGGUUGUAAACUUCCUUUAUCAGGGACGAAGCAAGUGACGGUACCUGAUGAAUAAGCCACGGCUAACUACGUGCCAGCAGCCGCGGUAAUACGUAGGUGGCAAGCGUUAUCCGGAUUUACUGGGUGUAAAGGGCGUUUAGGCGGGAGUGCAAGUCAGAUGUGAAAACUAUGGGCUCAACCCAUAGCCUGCAGUUGAAACUGUACUUCUUGAGUGCUGGGGAGGCAAGCGGAAUUCGGGGUGUAGCGGUGAAAUGCGUAGAUAUACGGAGGAACACCAGUGGCGAAGGCAGAUUGCUGGACAGGAACUGACGCUGAGGCGCGAAAGCGCGGGGAGCGAACAGGAUUAGAUACCCGGGUAGUC
RNAcentral lists this ribosomal RNA (443 nucleotides) under uncultured bacterium. Its description in RNAcentral is "partial 16S ribosomal RNA". It matches the Rfam family "Bacterial small subunit ribosomal RNA", at positions 338 to 795 of the family's 1533-position model. The record is from RNAcentral.